This 492-nucleotide ribosomal RNA is filed under the name uncultured bacterium. Its description in RNAcentral is "partial 16S ribosomal RNA". It matches the Rfam family "Bacterial small subunit ribosomal RNA", at positions 29 to 507 of the family's 1533-position model. The record is from RNAcentral.
AGUGAACGCUGGCGGUAGGCCUAACACAUGCAAGUCGAACGGCAGCACAGUAAGAGCUUGCUCUUACGGGUGGCGAGUGGCGGACGGGUGAGGAAUACAUCGGAAUCUACUUUUUCGUGGGGGAUAACGUAGGGAAACUUACGCUAAUACCGCAUACGCCCUACGGUUGAAAGCAGGGGAUCUUCUGACCUUGCGCGAUUGAAUGAGCGGAUGUGGGAUUGGCUAGUUGGCGGGGUAAAGACCCACCAAGGCGACGAUCGGUAGCUGGUCUGAGUGGAUGGUAAGCCACCUUGGAGCGUGGACACGCACCAGAGUACUACGGGAGGGCGCAGUGGGGAAUAUUGGACAAUGGGCGCAAGCAUGGCCCAGCCAUACCGCGUGGGUGACGAAGGCCUUCGGUUUGUAAAGACCUUUUGUUGGGAAAGAAAAGCAGCAGGUUAAUACCCCGCUGUUCUGACGGUACCCAAAGAAUAAGCACCGGCUAACUUCGUG